RNAcentral lists this unclassified non-coding RNA (376 nucleotides) under uncultured Actinomycetes bacterium. Its description in RNAcentral is "uncultured actinobacterium contains 16S-23S intergenic spacer region". Lineage: Bacteria; Bacillati; Actinomycetota; Actinomycetes. The record is from RNAcentral.
UCCGAGUUGACCCCGGCAGUCUCCUGCGAGUCCCCGGCUUUACCCGCUGGCAACACAGGACAAGGGUUGCGCUCGUUGCGGGACUUAACCCAACAUCUCACGACACGAGCUGACGACAACCAUGCACCACCUGUGCACCGACCUUACGGGGCACCUAUCUCUAGGUGUUACCGGUGCAUGUCAAGCCUUGGUAAGGUUCUUCGCGUUGCGUCGAAUUAAGCCACAUGCUCCGCCGCUUGUGCGGGCCCCCGUCAAUUCCUUUGAGUUUCAGCCUUGCGGCCGUACUCCCCAGGCGGGGCACUUAACGCGUAAGCUGCGACACGGAAGGGGCCGAUCCCCCCCGCAUCCAGUGCCCAUCGUUUACCGCGUGGACUAC